RNAcentral lists this ribosomal RNA (1346 nucleotides) under uncultured bacterium. RNAcentral's name for it is "partial 16S ribosomal RNA". It matches the Rfam family "Bacterial small subunit ribosomal RNA", at positions 28 to 1381 of the family's 1533-position model. The record is from RNAcentral.
GACGAACGCUGGCGGCGUGCUUAACACAUGCAAGUCGAACGGAAAGGCCCUGCUUUUGUGGGGUGCUCGAGUGGCGAACGGGUGAGUAACACGUGAGUAACCUGCCCUUGACUUUGGGAUAACUUCAGGAAACUGGGGCUAAUACCGGAUAGGAGCUCCUGCUGCAUGGUGGGGGUUGGAAAGUUUCGGCGGUUGGGGAUGGACUCGCGGCUUAUCAGCUUGUUGGUGGGGUAGUGGCUUACCAAGGCUUUGACGGGUAGCCGGCCUGAGAGGGUGACCGGCCACAUUGGGACUGAGAUACGGCCCAGACUCCUACGGGAGGCAGCAGUGGGGAAUAUUGCACAAUGGGCGGAAGCCUGAUGCAGCAACGCCGCGUGCGGGAUGACGGCCUUCGGGUUGUAAACCGCUUUCGCCUGUGACGAAGCGUGAGUGACGGUAAUGGGUAAAGAAGCACCGGCUAACUACGUGCCAGCAGCCGCGGUGAUACGUAGGGUGCGAGCGUUGUCCGGAUUUAUUGGGCGUAAAGGGCUCGUAGGUGGUUGAUCGCGUCGGAAGUGUAAUCUUGGGGCUUAACCCUGAGCGUGCUUUCGAUACGGGUUGACUUGAGGAAGGUAGGGGAGAAUGGAAUUCCUGGUGGAGCGGUGGAAUGCGCAGAUAUCAGGAGGAACACCAGUGGCGAAGGCGGUUCUCUGGGCCUUUCCUGACGCUGAGGAGCGAAAGCGUGGGGAGCGAACAGGCUUAGAUACCCUGGUAGUCCACGCUGUAAACGGUGGGUACUAGGUGUGGGGUCCAUUCCACGGGUUCCGUGCCGUAGCUAACGCUUUAAGUACCCCGCCUGGGGAGUACGGCCGCAAGGCUAAAACUCAAAGGAAUUGGCGGGGCCCCGCACAAGCGGCGGAGCAUGCGGAUUAAUUCGAUGCAACGCGUAGAACCUUACCUGGGUUUGACAUGGAUCGGGAGUGCUCAGAGAUGGGUGUGCCUCUUUUGGGGUCGGUUCACAGGUGGUGCAUGGCUGUCGUCAGCUCGUGUCGUGAGAUGUUGGGUUAAGUCCCGCAACGAGCGCAACCCUUGUUCACUGUUGCCAGCACGUUAUGGUGGGGACUCAGUGGAGACCGCCGGGGUCAACUCGGAGGAAGGUGGGGAUGACGUCAAGUCAUCAUGCCCCUUAUGUCCAGGGCUUCACGCAUGCUACAAUGGCUGGUACAGAGAGUGGCGAGCCUGUGAGGGUGAGCGAAUCUCGGAAAGCCGGUCUCAGUUCGGAUUGGGGUCCGCAACUCGACCUCAUGAAGUCGGAGUCGCUAGUAAUCGCAGAUCAGCAACGCUGCGGUGAAUACGUUCCCGGGGCU